Molecule: long non-coding RNA, 247 nt
Organism: Cucumis melo (muskmelon)
Lineage: Eukaryota; Viridiplantae; Streptophyta; Magnoliopsida; Cucurbitales; Cucurbitaceae
Exons: 2
Source: RefSeq, a predicted model, not a curated record
UUGGUUUUUUUAAUCACCAAGCAUUAGCUUCACAAGUGGAAGCUAUGAAAAAGAUGAUUGAAGACCUAACUCGUGCACAACAGGGACCACCACAUGAUCCCUAGCCUUGCGGACCGAAGGUGUAGAAUGACGCGCAUACGCACCUCGUUGGGAGAUUGGGUCUUAUGUUUAUGUUUUUUGUAUAUUGAAAACUAUAUUUUCUUGUAGUCAACUUAUUCGUAUUAUUAAUUUUAAUUCUAUUUUUUAA